Molecule: ribosomal RNA, 520 nt
Filed under: uncultured Glomus
Lineage: Eukaryota; Fungi; Glomeromycota; Glomeromycetes; Glomerales; Glomeraceae
Description: SSU rRNA
Rfam family: Eukaryotic small subunit ribosomal RNA
Source: RNAcentral
AGCAGCCGCGGUAAUUCCAGCUCCAAUAGCGUAUAUUAAAGUUGCUGCAGUUAAAAAGCUCGUAGUUGAAUUUCGGGACUAAUAUGUCGGUCGUGCCUCGGUACGUACUGGUAUUUUUGGUUUCUCCCUUCUGACGAACCUUGAUGUCAUUAAUUUGGUGUCUUGGGAAAUCAGGACUGUUACUUUGAAAAAAUUAGAGUGUUUAAAGCAGGCUCACGCUUGAAUACAUUAGCAUGGAAUAAUGAAAUAGGACGUUUGAUUCUAUUUUGUCGGUUUCUAGGAUUGACGUAAUGAUUAAUAGGGAUAGUUGGGGGCAUUAGUAUUCAAUUGUCAGAGGUGAAAUUCUUGGAUUUAUUGAAGACUAACUACUGCGAAAGCAUUUGCCAAGGAUGUUUUCAUUAAUCAAGAACGAAAGUUAGGGGAUCGAAGACGAUCAGAUACCGUCGUAGUCUUAACCAUAAACUAUGCCGACUAGGGAUCGGAUGAUGUUAAUUUUUUAAUGACUCAUUCGGCGCCUUAC